AGUGAACGCUGGCGGUAGGCCUAACACAUGCAAGUCGAGCGGCAGCACAGUAAGAGCUUGCUCUUACGGGUGGCGAGUGGCGGACGGGUGAGGAAUACAUCGGAAUCUACUUUUUCGUGGGGGAUAACGUAGGGAAACUUACGCUAAUACCGCAUACGACCUACGGGUGAAAGCAGGGGAUCUUCGGACCUUGCGCGAUUGAAUGAGCCGAUGUCGGAUUAGCUAGUUGGCGGGGUAAAGGUCCACCAAGGCGACGAUCCGUAGCUGGUCUGAGAGGAUGAUCAGCCACACUGGAACUGAGACACGGUCCAGACGACUACGGGAGGCAGCAGAGGGGAAUAUUGGACAAUGGGCGGAAGCAUGAUCCAGCCAUACCGCGUGGGUGAAGAAGGCCUUCGGGUUGUAAAGACCUUUUGUUGGGAAAGAAAAGCAGCAGGUUAAUACCCCGCUGUUCUGACGGUACCCAAAGAAUAAGCACCGGCUAACUUCGUG
This 492-nucleotide ribosomal RNA is filed under the name uncultured bacterium. RNAcentral's name for it is "partial 16S ribosomal RNA". It matches the Rfam family "Bacterial small subunit ribosomal RNA", at positions 29 to 507 of the family's 1533-position model. The record is from RNAcentral.